UUUGAAAACAAUUACAAAUCAUAUUUUUGUUUCAAAACCGAUGCAUUCAACUUUACUUUAUAUGAACAGACAAUAUAUAAAACAAUUUGUAAAUAGUAAUACAUAAAUCCGCACGUAGUGUGGGUACUCAUCUAGUUUCAUAAAAUCUCAAGAUUCUUACGCACACUAAGGUGCCAAGUCCAUAUCUUUGAAGACUCUUUCUCUCAUAUUAUUAAACAGUACUCAAGAAAGCGGGAUAGGCGGCCGUUUAAGCGUCACCCACCUAGGUGUUUGGCGUCUAUGUAUAGCUUCGAUUUUCUUAAAAUCGGAUUUAUUACGCGGUGGAGUAGAUUUGGCAGAAUAUGCGAUUAAACGGAUUAAACGGUUAUUAGGCGGGGUUAAGCGGGGUAGGCAGAUCUAAAUGUGUCUUAAUAUUUU
Molecule: small RNA, 417 nt
Filed under: Arabidopsis thaliana (thale cress)
Lineage: Eukaryota; Viridiplantae; Streptophyta; Magnoliopsida; Brassicales; Brassicaceae
Description: ATSL167930
Source: RNAcentral